AUUGAACGCUGGCGGCAUGCCUUACACAUGCAAGUCGAACGGCAGCACGGACUUCGGUCUGGUGGCGAGUGGCGAACGGGUGAGUAAUAUAUCGGAACGUGCCCUAGAGUGGGGGAUAACGUAGCGAAAGUUACGCUAAUACCGCAUACGAUCUACGGAUGAAAGUGGGGGAUCGCAAGACCUCAUGCUCAAGGAGCGGCCGAUAUCUGAUUAGCUAGUUGGUGGGGUAAAGGCCUACCAAGGCUACGAUCAGUAGCUGGUCUGAGAGGACGACCAGCCACACUGGGACUGAGACACGGCCCAGACUCCUACGGGAGGCAGCAGUGGGGAAUUUUGGACAAUGGGGGCAACCCUGAUCCAGCAAUGCCGCGUGUGUGAAGAAGGCCUUCGGGUUGUAAAGCACUUUUGUCAGGAACGAAACGGUGGGGGCUAAUAUCCUCUGCUAAUGACGGUACCUGAAGAAUAAGCACCGGCUAACUACGUGCCAGCCGCCGCAGUAA
This 500-nucleotide ribosomal RNA is filed under the name uncultured bacterium. RNAcentral's name for it is "partial 16S ribosomal RNA". It matches the Rfam family "Bacterial small subunit ribosomal RNA", at positions 30 to 523 of the family's 1533-position model. The record is from RNAcentral.